Molecule: long non-coding RNA, 984 nt
Organism: Oxyura jamaicensis (ruddy duck)
Lineage: Eukaryota; Metazoa; Chordata; Aves; Anseriformes; Anatidae
Exons: 2
Source: RefSeq, a predicted model, not a curated record
AUUUCAAUAAUUAAGUUACAGUAUUGGGGAGGGAAGGGAUAAAAGGGGACCCUUGCAGUUGGAUAGCAUUUUGGCAUAUAUCUGUGCAUGAAUUUUGUCACUUGUUUCACCUUUCUCUGAAAACAGUAUGUUUGUGUUUAAUAGUCUAUCUCUGAGUUUAAUGAGAAAAACUCAAAAUUCCUUAAAUGAUCACUAAUGAAGGUAGUCUACACAAUGUGGGCUUGAAGCGGUGUUAGUUAGUCAGGAACUAAAAGGAGGUUGAUAGAUCACUGAGUUGCUUUGGGCUUUGCUGAAGAUACAUAAUGGAAAAUCAUGUUUUAUACAAUACUGAUGACAUUCAGGAUUUUCUUCUAGGAUUUUUACUUAAGGAAGAUUGUCAGAAACUUCGAUAUUUUGAAGACUAAAUGUUCCAAAGUUCGAGAAGAGUUUUCUAAGGUCUUAUUUGUAUCAGCAAUAAGAGGUUUAGGUGUUGAGGGAGAACGGGGAAAGAAUAAAUAAGGUUAAUGAGUCUGUGUCCCAAGCAAGACUCUUGGUAGGGCAGUCAGCUUACAUGACAGUAGCCCACAUUUUCUUAUUGCAACCUUUAUAUUGACUGUUUUAAAAAUGCUCUUAGGUUUCACUGUUGAAGAAUUCAUACUCUGUGAGAAUAUAAUAAGUUAAUUAAAUUAAAGUGUAACACUGAGUAGAUAUUUUGAUGUGUGUAAAUAGAAUUUCUAUGAAAGAUUGAAUUAUCACCUCAAUUUAAUAAUUUCUCUUUUUCUGUGCAGUAUCAAGAUUGUCUACUAUUAGUUAAUUAAAAUAACUGACCGUUUGCCUGCCAAAACAAGGCUGAUAUUCAAUAUCCAAUUUAUUUCAAAUGCCAUAUGGCAUUCUCUGGUUCCAUACUCACUCGUAAAAUCAAUAUCUUGCACUGUUUGGUUUUGUUUUGAAAGUAGUUAGGUAUUCUAUCUUUCUAUGUGAUUACCAAUAUGUUUUCACUUUUUU